UGGGGAAUUUUCCGCAAUGGGCGAAAGCCUGACGGAGCAACGCCGCGUGGAUGAUGAAGUCUUUCGGGAUG
Molecule: ribosomal RNA, 71 nt
Filed under: uncultured bacterium
Lineage: Bacteria
Description: partial 16S ribosomal RNA
Rfam family: Bacterial small subunit ribosomal RNA
Source: RNAcentral